RNAcentral lists this small RNA (935 nucleotides) under Pan troglodytes (chimpanzee). Its description in RNAcentral is "retained intron". Lineage: Eukaryota; Metazoa; Chordata; Mammalia; Primates; Hominidae. The record is from RNAcentral.
GGAAGGUCAAUGAUAGCAUCUGCCUAGAGUCAAACCUCCGUGCUUCUCAGACAGUGCCUUUUCACCAUGAGUGGGUGCCCAUUUUUAGGAAACAACUUUGGAUAUACUUUGAAAAAACUCCCCGUAGAAGGCAGCGAAGAAGACAAAUCACAAACUGGUGUGAAUAGAGCCAGCAAAGGAGGUCUUAUCUAUGGGAACUACCUGCAUUUGGAAAAAGUUUUGAAUGCACAAGAACUGCAAAGUGAAACAAAAGGAAAUAAAAUCCAUGAUGAACAUCUUUUUAUCAUAACUCAUCAAGGUAAGUUGCACAAAGGUUUUGGACAAUAUUCCACAGGCAUUUCUCAUUGAUAACGAGGAAAGCUACAAUUUUUAAACUACAAAAUGAUGAAAGAUCAUGGAAUCACCUCUGUUAGAAAUGUUUGAGAAUAUUUUGCUGCCAGAUGAAUUCUCAUAGGACUGAUAUAAGGAUUUCAAUAGUCUUCUUUAUGUUACUCCUCUGCUAAUAGGUGAAGUAGGACUUUAGCUUUGUUCUUAACUCCAAGGGGACUUUCUGCCUCUUGGAAUUUCACUAGGAAUUCACAAGUGAAGAUGUUACGUUUCUCACUUCUGAACACUAAAAAACUAUUUUCAAGAUCAUUGAAAUUUAUGCUGGAUUGACAUAAUCCUAUACAAAUCUGGUAAUAAAGACAAAUGUAAAUUUUGUCCAAAAAUGUAUGUUUAUCCUUUCCAGAUUUCUAUAAUAAUUUCUGGGCAGUGGGGUUUUUUUUAGCCUAUGUGUUCAUGACUUCAGAAGUUUAGAAGGUCCCUGAACUCCAAAAUUAUGCGCAAAUUUUCAUGACUAUUAUCUUAAAGAGGUCUGUGACCCCAAAAUAUUAGUAACAUUUACUUUAAGCUUUUCAGUACCACUAUACUGACCUCUUAAUGACUGGAGCCCC